AUAGGGUCAAGUGAAUAAGUGCAUCAGGCGGAUGCCUUGGCGAUGAUAGGCGACGAAGGACGUGUAAGCCUGCGAAAAGCGCGGGGGAGCUGGCAAUAAAGCUAUGAUUCCGCGAUGUCCGAAUGGGGAAACCCACUGCAUUCUGUGCAGUAUCCUAAGUUGAAUACAUAGGCUUAGAGAAGCGAACCCGGAGAACUGAACCAUCUAAGUACCCGGAGGAAAAGAAAUCAACCGAGAUUCCGCAAGUAGUGGCGAGCGAACGCGGAGGAGCCUGUACGUAAUAACUGUCGAGAUAGAAGAACAAGCUGGGAAGCUUGACCAUAGCGGGUGACAGUCCCGUAUUCGAAAUCUCAACAGCGGUACUAAGCGUACGAAAAGUAGGGCGGGACACGUGAAAUCCUGUCUGAAUAUGGGGGGACCAUCCUCCAAGGCUAAAUACUCAUCAUCGACCGAUAGUGAACCAGUACCGUGAGGGAAAGGCGAAAAGAACCCCGGGAGGGGAGUGAAACAGAACCUGAAACCUGAUGCAUACAAACAGUGGGAGCGCCCUAGUGGUGUGACUGCGUACCUUUUGUAUAAUGGGUCAACGACUUACAUUCAGUAGCGAGCUUAACCGGAUAGGGGAGGCGUAGGGAAACCGAGUCUUAAUAGGGCGAUGAGUUGCUGGGUGUAGACCCGAAACCGAGUGAUCUAUCCAUGGCCAGGUUGAAGGUGCCGUAACAGGUACUGGAGGACCGAACCCACGCAUGUUGCAAAAUGCGGGGAUGAGCUGUGGGUAGGGGUGAAAGGCUAAACAAACUCGGAGAUAGCUGGUUCUCCCCGAAAACUAUUUAGGUAGUGCCUCGAGCAAGACACUGAUGGGGGUAAAGCACUGUUAUGGCUAGGGGGUUAUUGCAACUUACCAACCCAUGGCAAACUCAGAAUACCAUCAAGUGGUUCCUCGGGAGACAGACAGCGGGUGCUAACGUCCGUUGUCAAGAGGGAAACAACCCAGACCGCCGGCUAAGGUCCCAAAUGAUAGAUUAAGUGGUAAACGAAGUGGGAAGGCACAGACAGCCAGGAUGUUGGCUUAGAAGCAGCCAUCAUUUAAAGAAAGCGUAAUAGCUCACUGGUCGAGUCGUCCUGCGCGGAAGAUGUAACGGGGCUCAAAUCUAUAACCGAAGCUGCGGAUGCCGGUUUACCGGCAUGGUAGGGGAGCGUUCUGUAGGCUGAUGAAGGUGCAUUGUAAAGUGUGCUGGAGGUAUCAGAAGUGCGAAUGUUGACAUGAGUAGCGAUAAAGCGGGUGAAAAGCCCGCUCGCCGAAAGCCCAAGGUUUCCUACGCAACGUUCAUCGGCGUAGGGUAAGUCGGCACCUAAGGCGAGGCAGAAAUGCGUAGUCGAUGGGAAACAGGUUAAUAUUCCUGUACUUGAUUCAAAUGCGAUGUGGGGACGGAGAAGGUUAGGUUGGCAAGCUGUUGGAAUAGCUUGUUUAAGCCGGUAGGUGGAAGACUUAGGCAAAUCCGGGUUUUCUUAACACCGAGAAGUGAUGACGAGUGUCUACGGACACGAAGCAACCGAUACCACGCUUCCAGGAAAAGCCACUAAGCUUCAGUUUGAAUCGAACCGUACCGCAAACCGACACAGGUGGGCAGGAUGAGAAUUCUAAGGCGCUUGAGAGAACUCGGGAGAAGGAACUCGGCAAAUUGAUACCGUAACUUCGGGAGAAGGUAUGCCCUCUAAGGUUAAGGACUUGCUCCGUAAGCCCCGGAGGGUCGCAGAGAAUAGGUGGCUGCGACUGUUUAUUAAAAACACAGCACUCUGCCAACACGAAAGUGGACGUAUAGGGUGUGACGCCUGCCCGGUGCCGGAAGGUUAAUUGAAGAUGUGCAAGCAUCGGAUCGAAGCCCCGGUAAACGGCGGCCGUAACUAUAACGGUCCUAAGGUAGCGAAAUUCCUUGUCGGGUAAGUUCCGACCCGCACGAAUGGCGUAACGAUGGCCACACUGUCUCCUCCCGAGACUCAGCGAAGUUGAAGUGGUUGUGAAGAUGCAAUCUACCCGCUGCUAGACGGAAAGACCCCGUGAACCUUUACUGUAGCUUUGCAUUGGACUUUGAAGUCACUUGUGUAGGAUAGGUGGGAGGCUUGGAAGCAGAGACGCCAGUCUCUGUGGAGUCGUCCUUGAAAUACCACCCUGGUGUCUUUGAGGUUCUAACCCAGACCCGUCAUCCGGGUCGGGGACCGUGCAUGGUAGGCAGUUUGACUGGGGCGGUCUCCUCCCAAAGCGUAACGGAGGAGUUCGAAGGUUACCUAGGUCCGGUCGGAAAUCGGACUGAUAGUGCAAUGGCAAAAGGUAGCUUAACUGCGAGACCGACAAGUCGGGCAGGUGCGAAAGCAGGACAUAGUGAUCCGGUGGUUCUGUAUGGAAGGGCCAUCGCUCAACGGAUAAAAGGUACUCCGGGGAUAACAGGCUGAUUCCGCCCAAGAGUUCAUAUCGACGGCGGAGUUUGGCACCUCGAUGUCGGCUCAUCACAUCCUGGGGCUGUAGUCGGUCCCAAGGGUAUGGCUGUUCGCCAUUUAAAGUGGUACGUGAGCUGGGUUUAAAACGUCGUGAGACAGUUUGGUCCCUAUCUGCAGUGGGCGUUGGAAGUUUGACGGGGGCUGCUCCUAGUACGAGAGGACCGGAGUGGACGAACCUCUGGUGUACCGGUUGUAACGCCAGUUGCAUAGCCGGGUAGCUAAGUUCGGAAGAGAUAAGCGCUGAAAGCAUCUAAGCGCGAAACUCGCCUGAAGAUGAGACUUCCCUUGCGGUUUAACCGCACUAAAGGGUCGUUCGAGACCAGGACGUUGAUAGGUGGGGUGUGGAAGCGCGGUAACGCGUGAAGCUAACCCAUACUAAUUGCCCGUGAGGCUUGACUCUAU
RNAcentral lists this ribosomal RNA (2898 nucleotides) under Neisseria gonorrhoeae. Its description in RNAcentral is "23S ribosomal RNA". It matches the Rfam family "Bacterial large subunit ribosomal RNA". Lineage: Bacteria; Pseudomonadati; Pseudomonadota; Betaproteobacteria; Neisseriales; Neisseriaceae. The record is from RNAcentral.